This is an RNA transcript of Musa acuminata AAA Group (dessert banana), 1743 nucleotides long. It is a transcript of the gene named UDP-glucuronic acid decarboxylase 1, with no coding region annotated. Lineage: Eukaryota; Viridiplantae; Streptophyta; Magnoliopsida; Zingiberales; Musaceae. The transcript has 9 exons. The record is from RefSeq and is a predicted model, not a curated record.
CUUCUCUCUCUCUCUCUCUCUCUCUCUCUCUCUCUCUCUGUGCUUCCUGGACUACAGGGGUAGUUCUCCGCAGGAGGCACUGUAGAUCUACUCUUGAUUCGAGUCUCCGGCCGUACGAUCCAGCGAUGAAGCAGCUCCACAAGCAAAGCAGCCUCAAUCAGAACCAACAGAUCCCCACGUACGCCGCCAAGCCAGCCAAGCCGCAGGCCCGCCCCUCCUCCGCCUCCUCGUCUCCCUCCUUUUUACGUGCCGCCGCCGGCUACCUCCUCCGGGAGCAGCGCCUCCUCUUCGUCCUCGCCGGCGCUGUCAUCGCCUCCACCUUCUUCCUUCUUCAACCCUACUAUCACUCCUCCACCUCCGGACUCCAGCCCUCUGAUCACCUCGCCCACCGCCAUCCGUCCUCCUCCUCCUCCUUCGGCGGCGGCGAUGCCGCCUUGGGUGGUAGUGGGAAAAGGAUGCCGGUGGGGCUGAAGAAGCCGUCGAAGCGAGUCGUGGUCACGGGGGGCGCCGGCUUCGUCGGGAGCCACCUGGUCGACAAGCUGCUGUCCAGGGGGGAUAGCGUGAUCGUGAUCGAUAAUUUCUUCACCGGGAGGAAGGAGAACGUGGUGCAUCAUUUCGGGAACCCGAGGUUCGAGCUGAUCCGCCAUGACGUUGUCGAGCCGAUCUUGCUGGAGGUGGACGAGAUCUACCAUCUCGCAUGCCCGGCUUCGCCGGUGCAUUACAAGUAUAACCCCAUCAAGACUAUCAAGACAAAUGUGAUGGGAACAUUGAACAUGUUGGGAUUGGCAAAGAGAAUUGGAGCGCGAUUCCUGUUGACAAGUACCAGCGAGGUGUAUGGUGAUCCACUUGAGCAUCCACAGAAGGAGACAUACUGGGGCCAUGUCAAUCCUAUAGGUGUUAGGAGUUGCUAUGAUGAAGGAAAGAGAACAGCAGAAACUUUGACCAUGGAUUACCAUCGUGGUGCUGAAGUUGAGGUCCGUAUUGCACGAAUAUUCAAUACAUACGGACCUCGUAUGUGCCUAGAUGAUGGCCGGGUUGUCAGUAACUUUGUUGCGCAGGCACUUCGUAAAGAACCUAUGACAGUUUAUGGUGAUGGGAAGCAAACUCGAAGCUUCCAAUUUGUUUCAGACUUGGUUGAUGGAUUAGUGGCUCUUAUGGAAGGUGAGCACAUUGGACCUUUCAACUUGGGUAAUCCAGGAGAGUUCACCAUGCUGGAGCUAGCUGAGGUUGUGAAAGAAGUUGUUGAUCCUUCUGCAACCAUAGAAUUCAGACCUAACACUGCAGAUGAUCCACAUAUGAGAAAACCUGACAUAUCGAAGCCAAAAGAACUGCUGAACUGGGAACCAAAGGUUACACUGCAUGAAGGGCUGCCCCUAAUGGUGGGGCCCAUUUUACGGCGACUAUGGGCCCCGACUGUGGCCCAACUGUCCCGUGAUCCUCGCUCCAUCGAACGGUUCGCGUCGCUGAUUGAUGAAUCCCGACGAAUCUGAUGUGACUUGAAGAGCGACGGACGGGGUGUGGUACCAUUGCAGGCGUAGCGACCCGUACUUAAUCACGGAAUCACGUCGGCGACUGAUGAAUCCGACGGUUCCGAUGUGAUUAAAGAAGAGGACCUGGAGAGAUCAAAGCGUGGAUGGACGUCGAUCCACCUUCCUUUCCAACGGCUUCAGAGGAUGAGGGUUAGGUGCUGGCUUGUGCCUAGUCCUUGCCUCAUCAGUGGUUGGAAUGGCCGACGGAGACCAC